AAGAGUGUCUCUCUAUGGCCACCACCAGCCCAGGCCCACUACAGUUGACCAUUAAACAACACAGGUUUGAACUGAGUGGAUCCACUUAUAUGCAUACGUGCAUUUUCUCCUGACUCGGCCACCCCUGAGACAGCAAGACCAAUCACUCCUCUUUGACUUCCUCCUCAUUUUACUCAAUGUGAAGACCACCAGGAUGAAGACCUUUAUGAUGAUCCACUUCCACUUAAUGAAUACCAUUUUAGGAGCCAAGAUGGCCGAAUAGGAACAGCUCUGGUCUACAGCUCCCAGCGUGAGCGAUGCAGAAGACGGGUGAUUUCUGCAUUUCCAUC
RNAcentral lists this long non-coding RNA (329 nucleotides) under Homo sapiens (human). Its description in RNAcentral is "HSALNT0343694". The record is from RNAcentral. Lineage: Eukaryota; Metazoa; Chordata; Mammalia; Primates; Hominidae.